Molecule: ribosomal RNA, 465 nt
Filed under: uncultured bacterium
Lineage: Bacteria
Description: partial 16S ribosomal RNA
Rfam family: Bacterial small subunit ribosomal RNA
Source: RNAcentral
GACGAACGCUGGCGGCGUGCUUAACACAUGCAAGUCGUACGGUAAGGCCCUUUUGGGGGUACAUGAGUGGCGAACGGGCGGGUAAGUAGUGAGUAACCUGCCCACACUUUUGGGUUAAAGAUAGGAAAGUGGCGCUAAUAAUGGACAUGUGCUCCUGCCGCAUGGUGGGGGUUGGAAGGAUCCGGUGGGUGUGGGUUGACUGGCGGCCUAUCAGCUUGUUGGUGGGGUUGUGGGCUACCAAAGCGGCGUCGGGUAGCCGGCCUGCGGGGGUGACCGGCCACAUUGGGGCUGAGGAACGGCCCAAGCGCCUACGGGAGGCAACAGGGGGGAAUAAUGCACAAUGGGCGCAAAGCUGGUGCAGCAACCCCGCGGGCGGGAAGGCGGCCUUCGGGGUGAAAACCGCUUUCAGCAUGUGCCGAACCUUUUGUGACGGUACCUGCAGAAGAAGCACCGGCUAACUACGUG